CAGCAGCCACGGGAAUACGUAGGGUGCAAGCGUUAAUCGGAAUUACUGGGCGUAAAGCGUGCGCAGGCGGUUAUAUAAGACAGAUGUGAAAUCCCCGGGCUCAACCUGGGAACUGCAUUUGUGACUGUAUAGCUAGAGUACGGCAGAGGGGGAUGGAAUUCCGCGUGUAGCAGUGAAAUGCGUAGAUAUGCGGAGGAACACCGAUGGCGAAGGCAAUCACCUGGGCCUGUACUGACGCUCAUGCACGAAAGCGUGGGGAGCAAACAGGAUUAGAUACCCGUGUAGUCCCUGUCUCUUAUAC
Molecule: ribosomal RNA, 301 nt
Filed under: uncultured bacterium
Lineage: Bacteria
Description: partial 16S ribosomal RNA
Rfam family: Bacterial small subunit ribosomal RNA
Source: RNAcentral